Molecule: ribosomal RNA, 279 nt
Filed under: uncultured bacterium
Lineage: Bacteria
Description: partial 16S ribosomal RNA
Rfam family: Bacterial small subunit ribosomal RNA
Source: RNAcentral
UGCCAGCCGCCGCGGUAAUACGAAGGGUGCUAGCGUUGUUCGGAAUUACUGGGCGUAAAGGGCGUGUAGGCGGUCUAAUCAGUCAGAGGUGAAAGCCCUGGGCUUAACCUGGGAACUGCAUUUAGAACUGGGCAGCUAGAGUACAGCAGAGGAGUGUGGAAUUUCAGGUGUAGCGGUGAAAUGCGUAGAGAUCUGAAGGAACAUCAGUGGCGAAGGCGACACUCUGGGUUGAUACUGACGCUGAGGUGCGAAAGCGUGGGGAGCAAACAGGAUUAGAUA